AGCAGUAGCCGCGGUAAUACGUAGGGUGCGAGCGUUGUCCGGAAUUACUGGGCGUAAAGAGCUCGUAGGUGGUUUGUCGCGUCGUCUGUGAAAUUCCGGGGCUUAACUCCGGGCGUGCAGGCGAUACGGGCAUAACUUGAGUGCUGUAGGGGAGACUGGAAUUCCUGGUGUAGCGGUGAAAUGCGCAGAUAUCAGGAGGAACACCGAUGGCGAAGGCAGGUCUCUGGGCAGUAACUGACGCUGAGGAGCGAAAGCAUGGGUAGCGAACAGGAUUAGAUACCCCAGUAGUCCCUGUCUCUUAUU
Molecule: ribosomal RNA, 303 nt
Filed under: uncultured bacterium
Lineage: Bacteria
Description: partial 16S ribosomal RNA
Rfam family: Bacterial small subunit ribosomal RNA
Source: RNAcentral